GAUGAACGCUGACAGAAUGCUUAACACAUGCAAGUCUUUGGCAAAGCUGUGCUUGCACAGUCUAGCCAAGGCGGACGGGUGAGUAACGCGUAAGGAACUUGCCCUGCAGUCAGGGAUAACAGACGGAAACGACUGAUAAAACCUGAUAAAGUCAGACGGACUCAUGUCCAGUCUGAUGAAAAGAAAUGCUGCAGGAGAGCCUUGCGUCCUAUUAGCUUGUUGGUGGGGUAACGGCCCACCAAGGCAAUGAUAGGUAGCCGGCCUGAGAGGGUGGACGGCCACAAGGGGACUGAGAUACGGCCCUUACUCCUACGGGAGGCAGCAGUGGGGAAUAUUGGACAAUGGGGGCAACCCUGAUCCAGCAAUUCUGUGUGCACGAAGAAGGUUUUCGGAUUGUAAAGUGCUUUCAGCAGGGAAGAAAAAAAUGACGGUACCUGCAGAAGAAGCGACGGCUAAAUACGUGCCAGCAGCCGCGGUAAUACGUAUGUCGCAAGCGUUAUCCGGAAUUAUUGGGCAUAAAGGGCAUCUAGGCGGCCAGAUAAGUCUGGGGUGAAAACUUGCGGCUCAACCGCAAGCCUGCCCUGGAAACUAUGUGGCUAGAGUACUGGAGAGGUGGACGGAACUGCACGAGUAGAGGUGAAAUUCGUAGAUAUGUGCAGGAAUGCCGAUGAUGAAGAUAGUUCACUGGACGGUAACUGACGCUGAAGUGCGAAAGCUAGGGGAGCAAACAGG
This 732-nucleotide ribosomal RNA is filed under the name uncultured Leptotrichia sp. Its description in RNAcentral is "bacterial SSU rRNA". It matches the Rfam family "Bacterial small subunit ribosomal RNA", at positions 28 to 776 of the family's 1533-position model. Lineage: Bacteria; Fusobacteriati; Fusobacteriota; Fusobacteriia; Fusobacteriales; Leptotrichiaceae. The record is from RNAcentral.